GGGUGGCUAUGGAGAGGCGUACUGCAGAGACACCUGGACGCGCACUGUGACAGGCGCCAUUCUGACACACGUGCUCUCUCACUCCCAAACACCACGGGCCGCAAGCGCUCACACCCACACUCACCUGCAGGGACCACGUGGGAGAAUUUGAAGGGCUGAUCCUGUCCCGGUGCAUUCGCAGUAGCAAUGAUGCGAGAAUUCGUUUUAACCUCGUCACUGACUGGACUAGACUGUAAACUCCUUGGCGUCUGGGAUGGCUCAGCCGUGCCCAGCACCAAGUGCAGGCACUCAAACCCCUGUGGAGUAAGUGACUGGAUGAAUGAAUGCAUUGGAACUGUUCACUGAGUAUCUGUAACAAUUUUGAUCCCAUGGUUUGGUACAAAGAAUUUUAUUGCAGUAU
RNAcentral lists this long non-coding RNA (400 nucleotides) under Homo sapiens (human). RNAcentral's name for it is "HSALNT0330508". Lineage: Eukaryota; Metazoa; Chordata; Mammalia; Primates; Hominidae. The record is from RNAcentral.